AUUGCUCUGUCGUUGGCAUCUGGUCAACUACUGUGAAUGGUCCAGACUUCACUGGAGCUGGUGGUCAAAACGGACAUCCUGGGGGUGAACUGUGGUGGUGUUUACUGAUCCUUGUCCUGGUCGUCAUUGGCAUUGGCAUUGCUUACUGGUGUAUCAAGAAGCGCAAAAUAAAUAGAAACCAUGUCGUAUAAGGGAGAAAGUGACAGGGACAGCGCUCAGGACUACCCAUCCCUUAACCAAGCUGUUUGGACCCAACCACCAGGGACAGGGACAGCGCUCAGGACUACCCAUCCCUUAACCAAGCUGUUUGGACCCAACCACCAGAGACAGGGACAGCACUCAGGACUACCCAUCCCUUAACCAAGCUGUUUGGACCAAACCACCAGAGACACGGACAACCCUCAGGACUACCCAUCCCUUAACCAAGCUGUUUGGACCAAACCACCAGAGACAGG
Oncorhynchus gorbuscha (pink salmon) is the source of this 455-nucleotide long non-coding RNA. RefSeq lists it as uncharacterized. The record is from RefSeq and is a predicted model, not a curated record. Lineage: Eukaryota; Metazoa; Chordata; Actinopteri; Salmoniformes; Salmonidae. The transcript has 4 exons.